Molecule: ribosomal RNA, 918 nt
Filed under: uncultured bacterium
Lineage: Bacteria
Description: bacterial SSU rRNA
Rfam family: Bacterial small subunit ribosomal RNA
Source: RNAcentral
ACGCUGGCGGCAGGCUUAACACAUGCAAGUCGAACGGUAACAGGAAUUAGCUUGCUAAUUUGCUGACGAGUGGUGGACGGGUGAGUAAUGCUUGGGAAUCUGGCUUAUGGAGGGGGAUAACUACGGGAAACUGUAGCUAAUACCGCGUAAAAUCUUCGGAUUAAAGGGUGGGACUUUCGAGCCACCUGCCAUAAGAUGAGCCCAAGUGGGAUUAGGUAGUUGGUUAGGUAAAGGCUGACCAAGCCGACGAUCUCUAGCUGGUCUGAGAGGAUGACCAGCCACACUGGAACUGAGACACGGUCCAGACUCCUACGGGAGGCAGCAGUGGGGAAUAUUGCACAAUGGGGGGAACCCUGAUGCAGCCAUGCCGCGUGAAUGAAGAAGGCCUUCGGGUUGUAAAGUUCUUUCGGUGACGAGGAAGGUUGAUAGGUUAAUAGCCUAUCAAAUUGACGUUAAUCACAGAAGAAGCACCGGCUAACUCCGUGCCAGCAGCCGCGGUAAUACGGGGGGUGCGAGCGUUAAUCGGAAUAACUGGGCGUAAAGGGCACGCAGGCGGUGACUUAAGUGAGAUGUGAAAGCCCCGAGCUUAACUUGGGAAUUGGAUUUCAUACUGGGUCGCUAGAGUACUUUAGGGAGGGGUAGAAUUCCACGUGUAGCGGUGAAAUGCGUAGAGAUGUGGAGGAAUACCGAAGGCGAAGGCAGCCCCUUGGGAAUGUACUGACGCUCAUGUGCGAAAGCGUGGGGAGCAAACAGGAUUAGAUACCCUGGUAGUCCACGCUGUAAACGAUGUCGAUUUGGGGAUUGGGCUUUGAGCUUGGUGCCCGUAGCUAACGUGAUAAAUCGACCGCCUGGGGAGUACGGCCGCAAGGUUAAAACUCAAAUGAAUUGACGGGGGCCCGCACAAGCGGUGGAGCAUGU